Molecule: RNA transcript, 7395 nt
Organism: Homo sapiens (human)
Lineage: Eukaryota; Metazoa; Chordata; Mammalia; Primates; Hominidae
Gene: SARDH
Gene name: sarcosine dehydrogenase
Exons: 22
Source: RefSeq, marked reviewed
AGUUGCAACUUGUCUUUGAGUGCAGGGACAGGAGAAGUGUGGGCUACCCGGCCACUGCCCUGGAGCUGUGGUGACUGCUGCGUUUUUCUCCCAUGCACUUGCACGUCCAGGACUCCUGGGAGAACUUGGGCCACACUCCUUCCUUGCCCUCUUGAGCUCAUUCGUCACCCUGUUGGGUGAGCACAGCCCUAGCUCAGGCCACUGGGCAAGCCACACCAUCCAAAGAGGAGGUCCUCUGCCCCAGGACCCCCACACCACCCCAGCUCCCUGUUUCGCUGAGGCCUGGAGCCCCCAUGGCCUCACUGAGCCGAGCCCUACGUGUGGCUGCUGCCCACCCUCGCCAGAGCCCUACCCGGGGCAUGGGGCCAUGCAACCUGUCCAGCGCAGCUGGCCCCACAGCCGAGAAGAGUGUGCCAUAUCAGCGGACCCUGAAGGAGGGACAGGGCACCUCGGUGGUGGCCCAAGGCCCAAGCCGGCCCCUGCCCAGCACGGCCAACGUGGUGGUCAUUGGUGGAGGCAGCUUGGGCUGCCAGACCCUGUACCACCUGGCCAAGCUGGGCAUGAGUGGGGCGGUGCUGCUGGAGCGGGAGCGGCUGACCUCCGGGACCACCUGGCACACGGCAGGCCUGCUGUGGCAGCUGCGGCCCAGUGACGUGGAGGUGGAGCUUCUGGCCCACACUCGGCGGGUGGUGAGCCGGGAGCUGGAGGAGGAGACGGGACUACACACGGGCUGGAUCCAGAAUGGGGGCCUCUUCAUCGCGUCCAACCGGCAGCGCCUGGACGAGUACAAGAGGCUCAUGUCGCUGGGCAAGGCGUAUGGUGUGGAAUCCCAUGUGCUGAGCCCGGCAGAGACCAAGACUCUGUACCCGCUGAUGAAUGUGGACGACCUCUACGGGACCCUGUAUGUGCCGCACGACGGUACCAUGGACCCCGCUGGCACCUGUACCACCCUCGCCAGGGCAGCUUCUGCCCGAGGAGCACAGGUCAUUGAGAACUGCCCAGUGACCGGCAUUCGUGUGUGGACGGAUGAUUUUGGGGUGCGGCGGGUCGCGGGUGUGGAGACUCAGCAUGGUUCCAUCCAGACACCCUGCGUGGUCAACUGUGCAGGAGUGUGGGCAAGUGCUGUGGGCCGGAUGGCUGGAGUCAAGGUCCCGCUGGUGGCCAUGCACCAUGCCUAUGUCGUCACCGAGCGCAUCGAGGGGAUUCAGAACAUGCCCAAUGUCCGUGAUCAUGAUGCCUCUGUCUACCUCCGCCUCCAAGGGGAUGCCUUGUCUGUGGGUGGCUAUGAGGCCAACCCCAUCUUUUGGGAGGAGGUGUCAGACAAGUUUGCCUUCGGCCUCUUUGACCUGGACUGGGAGGUGUUCACCCAGCACAUUGAAGGCGCCAUCAACAGGGUCCCCGUGCUGGAGAAGACAGGAAUCAAGUCCACGGUCUGCGGCCCUGAAUCCUUCACGCCCGACCACAAGCCCCUGAUGGGGGAGGCACCUGAGCUCCGAGGGUUCUUCCUGGGCUGUGGCUUCAACAGCGCAGGAAUGAUGCUGGGUGGUGGCUGUGGGCAGGAGCUGGCCCACUGGAUCAUCCAUGGGCGCCCGGAGAAGGACAUGCAUGGCUAUGACAUCAGGCGCUUCCAUCACUCGCUCACGGACCACCCCCGCUGGAUCCGAGAGCGAAGCCAUGAGUCCUACGCCAAGAACUACUCCGUCGUCUUCCCCCACGAUGAGCCGCUGGCCGGGCGCAACAUGAGGAGAGACCCGCUGCACGAGGAACUCCUUGGACAAGGCUGCGUGUUCCAGGAGCGGCAUGGCUGGGAGCGACCGGGAUGGUUUCAUCCCCGAGGCCCAGCUCCGGUCCUCGAGUACGACUACUACGGGGCUUACGGGAGCCGCGCGCACGAGGACUACGCCUACCGCAGGCUGCUGGCAGACGAGUACACCUUCGCCUUCCCGCCCCACCACGACACGAUCAAGAAGGAGUGCCUGGCCUGCAGAGGGGCCGCCGCUGUGUUUGACAUGUCCUACUUCGGGAAGUUCUACCUGGUGGGGCUGGAUGCAAGGAAGGCUGCCGACUGGCUCUUCUCCGCAGAUGUCAGCCGACCCCCAGGCUCCACCGUGUACACGUGCAUGCUCAACCACCGUGGGGGCACCGAGAGUGACCUGACUGUCAGCCGCCUGGCACCCAGCCACCAGGCCUCCCCGCUGGCCCCCGCCUUUGAAGGGGACGGUUACUACCUGGCCAUGGGCGGGGCCGUGGCCCAGCACAACUGGUCCCACAUCACCACCGUGCUGCAGGACCAGAAGUCCCAGUGCCAGCUCAUCGACAGCUCCGAGGACCUGGGUAUGAUCAGUAUCCAGGGCCCAGCCAGCCGAGCCAUUUUGCAGGAGGUGCUGGACGCAGACCUGAGCAACGAGGCCUUCCCGUUCUCCACCCACAAGCUACUGAGAGCCGCAGGGCACCUGGUCCGAGCCAUGCGGCUGUCCUUUGUGGGGGAGCUGGGCUGGGAGCUGCACAUUCCAAAGGCGUCCUGCGUGCCUGUGUACCGGGCUGUGAUGGCCGCGGGUGCCAAGCACGGCCUCAUCAACGCAGGGUACCGCGCCAUCGACUCCCUGAGCAUUGAGAAAGGCUACCGGCACUGGCACGCGGACCUGCGGCCAGACGACAGCCCCCUGGAGGCAGGCCUGGCCUUCACCUGCAAGCUCAAGUCGCCGGUGCCCUUCCUGGGGAGGGAGGCCCUGGAGCAGCAGCGGGCCGCAGGCCUCCGCCGGCGCCUGGUGUGCUUCACCAUGGAGGACAAAGUACCCAUGUUUGGCCUGGAGGCCAUCUGGAGGAACGGCCAAGUGGUGGGCCAUGUCCGGAGGGCUGACUUUGGGUUCGCCAUCGACAAGACCAUCGCCUACGGUUACAUCCAUGACCCCAGCGGUGGGCCGGUCUCGCUGGACUUUGUGAAGAGCGGGGACUAUGCCCUGGAGAGAAUGGGGGUGACCUAUGGUGCCCAGGCUCACCUGAAGUCGCCCUUCGACCCCAACAACAAGAGGGUGAAGGGAAUCUACUGAGGGCUCAGACCACAUGCCCCAUCCCAUGCUGUCCAUCCAUUCUCACAGGUCCCAAAUGGCCCUGGGUCCCAGGACCCUGGACCCAGCCAGAACUUGUGCCCUCCCUGUCCUUAGCCUAGGCCUAGUCCUGCGAAAACCCCCAAACCAGAUACGGACAGAGACCAAGAUGGCCCAUCCUGUGGUCACUGACUGGAAGGCAGUCUCUAAUCCACCCCAAUCCUCCCAGAAAGCAAACCUGCUUGACUGAUCGGUGGCGGGCUUCCCUGGGGCACUUGGCUGAAGAGCAUGAGGCUGUGUCUGGGUCAGGAAAGAGAGGUGAUCGACUGGCAUUGUCUGCCACAGCGCACAUGGAGGCCUGGGACCAAGGCCAUUCUUCAGGAUGGUGCCUCUCGGCUCUCAGGUCGGAACAGGAGCUGGAAAGCUCUUCUUACCUUGCUCGACCUCCCUGUUCUUCAGGUGGCAAAGCCUCCUGAGAGUCGGCAGCCCGGGAACACAGAGGAGCCGAAGCAGGGAGCGGGCGGGGCCUCAGAUUGGUGCCCUCCUCACCCACACAGAAGUGCCAGCUCCUGCCUCAGUUUCCCCUUGAGCCCCUCGCUCACCAGGCCCAGGCAGGAGGGACGUGCUGCUGGGUAAGAGUCUGGUGGAGUCCCCCUUUCUAGGUGACCUUUGUCUUUGCUGUUGAUUUGGACGCGGUUCCUGCCCAUGCCCUCCUCCUUGUCUGGCCCUUGCAGGAGGACCCUCUCUUAGGCUCUGCCCUGCACGCUGCCUUGAGAUGGGGUGGCUCCUCUGCCCACCUUCUCUUCCCCCUGAUAACUGCCUGUGUGUCAGAAGCAGCUCUGCCUCUCCUGCCUGGGAGGGGUGUGCAUCUCUGUCCAUCCCACGUGCUCAGUCCCCUCCCUUGUCCCCCCGAGCCCAGGUUCAGAUCAGGCCCGUCAGAGCGGCACUGCGCAGUCUUGCCAGGCAUGCCCUGCAAUCUGGGAAGAGCGGGAGGCAGAUGCUUGAGGGUAUCGUGGAGCCGGGGCCCCACAGAGCCACACACACAGCAAACAGCGAUCUGGGGGCAGCAGUCCUGGCAGGCCCCAGCUGCCACUGGACGCUCCCAGGCCACGCGGCCCACUGUGGACUGAGCUCGAACAAAGCUGUGGGCAGACGUUUGGGUUACAGAUGGCUGUGAAAAGUGGGUUUGGCCCCCUGAGUCUGGGGAGGGGGCUGCGGCUGGAGACCAGGGUGGGGGCUGUUGGCUUUCACACGCUUCAGGCUGAAGGAACACCUGCAGCCUCCCCUUGCUCACAGGCGGGCCUGGCUUCUGGAUGAGACAGCUUUGUGGGAGCCAGGGGAGGAGAGGAGGGGAGCCGGCUCCCCAGAUGGCCUGGCCUGCUUCCUCCGGGUCUGCGGUUUGGCCAUAGACCCCUGGAUUGGGCCGGUGACCACAUUCAUCUCACGGCCCAUCCCUGGGGGAAGGCUGAGGAUGAGGGGAGGUCAGAGCCCGGGUUCCGCUCCAAAUUGUUUCUCGUGGCUGCAGCUGGGGAAUGCACGCAACGGCACCACCCUGUCCCGAGGAGAGAGAACCUGGCUGCGCUCCCUGUCCCGAGGAGAGAGAACCCAGCACCCCUCCCUGUCCCCUGUGUGCUUCCCCCGCCCCUGUGGAGAGAGAACCUGGCCCCUCGGGGAGGGCACUGGGCAUUGAUGUGAGCGCAGCCUCCACAACUCACCUCCCAAGCUCAUCACCUGCGGGCUCCAUCCCUGCGCUGCCAGAGGUCCUGGCCCCGCCAUGGCUCCCAAGUGCACCGCCCGGGGACCACAUCACAAAAGACCCACCUUCCCAGACCCCGAGCCAGGUCUUCCAGACCUCAACUUUAAAAACACCGUUUCGUAGCUAUUUUUAAAUUUUUUUUCUGGAAAUAUUGAUACCAUGACGCUCACUGUGGCUGAGUACUGCCUCUCAGGAAUUCUGAGCAAACUGUUUUGAAAGUGCCUACACUGGCCGGGCGCAGUGACUGACGCCUGUAAUCCCAGCACUUUGGGAGGCCGAGGGGGGCGGAUCACCUGAGGUUGGGAGUUUGAGACCAGCCUGACCAAUAUGGUGAAGUCUCAUCUCUACUAAAAACACAAAAUUAGCUGGGCGUGGUGGCACACGCCUGUAAUCCCAGAUACUUGGGAGGCUGAGGUGGGAGAAUUGCUUGAACCCAGGAAGCGGAGGUUGUGGUGAGCCGAGAUUAUGCCAUUGCACUCCAGCCUGGGCAACAAGAGGGAAACUCUGUCUCAAAAACAACAAAAAAAAGAAAGUGCCUACAUCGUCACCGGCAGAGCGCUAUACCACAGUGUGCAGUGAGACAGCCUUGGGCCAUGUGAAAAGUUGGGGGUAUGAAUGGGACGCAGAAAGGUUCCAUUUUGUUUUUUUUUGUUGUUGUUGUUUUUUUUUUGAGACAGGGUUUUACUCUGUUGCCCAAGCUGGAGUACAGUGGUGUGAUCUCAGCUCACUACAACCUCCACCUCCCAGGUCAAGCAAUUCUCCCACCUCAGCCUCCCAAAUAGCUAGGAUUACAAACGCGCACCACCACAGCCUGGCUAAUUUUUGUAUUUUUAGUAGAGACGGGGUUUCACCAUAUUGGCCAGGCUGGUCUCGAACUACCGACCUCAGGUGAUCCGCCCGCCUCAGUCUCCCAAAAUGCUGGGAUUACAGGCGUGAGCCACCGCGCCCAGCCCUAAUUAUUGUAUUUUUUGUAGAGACAGGAUUUCACUAUGUUGCCCAGGCUGGUCUUGAACUCCUGGGCUCAAGUGAUCCUCGCAUCUCAGCCUCCCAAAGUGCUGGGAUUACAGGCAUGAGCCACAGCACCCGACCUUGUAUCAUUUUAAUUAAUUUAAAAUUAAUCGUAAGUAGCCACAUGAGGCUAGCAGCCACCAGAAAGCACAGCCCUGGUGUGCUCUGGGACCCAGUCGGGCAGGCACCCCUAUGCUGGCUGGAGCCUGGGGUCGCCCCACUUCUCUCAACACUGAUGGGCAUGAGCAUUCCUCACCCCAGGGCUCUGAGCACCUCACAGAUGGGGGGUUGUGCCACCCUAGCAGUCCCUGCCCCCUGGGAGGCUGGGGAACCCUCUCCUCGGUGGGCAGAUAGGGAGACCCAAGCCUAGGGAAGGAAAGUAACUAACUCAGGGUCACACAGCAGGGGCAGGAAUAGCAACCUGGGCUGCUGGACUCACACCCCAAUCAUUCGGAAGGUGGGCGAGCCCAGAGUCCCUUUGGCUUGGGGCAUGUAGGUCAUUUUCAGGUAACAAAGCACUUCCCCUAAGCCUCUAAAUAAGGAACUUAUUUUAGAUAAAAUCCCCCACAAGGGUCCUGGGGAAAUUCCUGUUUCCUAAGUAAGCAGAGGUUGAGCAUUCAGACACUGGAGUCAGACCUGGGGACACUUCGAGCUCCCCGGCUUACUCUGGGUGACCUUGGCACCUAACUUUAGGUCUCUGAGCCUCAGUUUCCUCCUCCAUCAAUGGAAACAGAAACUACAUGGCUUCACGAGAUUGCCACGGCUGUGCAUAGCCUCAGUGUGGGGCAAGUGGCAACUCUCAGCAACCACGGGGUUACGCUUAUCUGGGUGUAGGAGGUGCGGGUACUGCUGGAGCGGGGUAGGGGGGACACGGCUGCUGUCUCUGCAAGAGGAAGAGGAUAACCAGCCUGAGAGCAAGAGUGUGAGUGGGGGGUGAGGUGGGGGUGGGGUUGUCGCUGUGGCAGGUUCCAGAGCUGGCUAGGAUUCCCAAUCACUGCCGCUCUUGGGCCCCAGGUGAGGUACUUAUCUGGGAGUCUCAGUUUCCCUGCCCGAGAUCGGCAGGCUACAAGUGCCCCCCAGGUGUUUGGGCAGGACCCUGGGACCCUUCUCUGGGCUGGCAAUUGGGUGUGAUCGCGGGAAGAGGCUUCUUGGGCCUGCUCCGUGUCUACUGUCACCUAGGCUGUAAAGAUGACAGAGGGCCGGAGUGGCUCUCCAGGCUGGGGCCUGGCAUUUCACAGCGCUAGCGCCGUGACUUAUGGACCACAAGAAGCUGUGAUUUAUACAACGUGAGGCAGAGCUCCUGGGCUCGUGACUUCCCUUCUGUGAUGAAGUGAAGUGCCUUGCAGAAGCAGCAGCCGCUUAGCUGAUGCGAGGGGACUCCGAGGCCCAUCCAUCUCCCUCUCUCCCCAUGAGGCUGGGCAGCGUUUUGCUGAAGUGGCUGAACACAAGUGCAUCUGUUACUGUCUCCAGAAACCAUCAAAGAGCUGAACUUGUCCCUGAGAGGCAGCUCAGAGGGCAGGAAGGGGAGACCCACCCAGGCCAGCUGAGGCAGCUUCAGGACGCUCAGGGGGAAGCACUUGGUAC